AUGGCUCGAGCUCGAGUUGUUGCAGUGGUGCUGCUGGCGGUCGGCAGUUUGCUGCUGUCUGCGGCUGCGGACACCGCAACUGCGCCAUCCCCGCAACCGUUCGUCUGGCAGAAGGCGCAUGCAACGUUCUAUGGUGGUGCUGAUGCCUCUGACACAAUGGGUGGCGCAUGCGGGUACGGCAACCUCUUCGCUGAAGGUUACGGGACGCGUACGGUGGCUCUGAGCACCGUGUUGUUCAAUGACGGCGCCGCGUGCGGGCAGUGCUACAAGAUAGCAUGCGACCGCAAGCGCGCGGACCCAUUGUUUUGCAAGCCUGGUGUGACGGUCACCGUCACGGCCACGAACUUUUGCCCGCCCAACGAUGCCCUCCCCAAUGACAACGGCGGCUGGUGCAACACGCCAAGGCCGCACUUCGACAUGGCCCAGCCGGCCUGGGAGAAGAUUGGUGUUUAUAAAGGUGGCAUCAUCCCCGUCAUGUACCAAAGAGUUCCGUGCGUGAAGCGGGGUGGUGUGAGGUUCAGAAUCAAUGGUCACGAUUACUUCAAUCUUGUGCUUGUGAGCAAUGUUGCUGCAGCAGGCUCGAUCAAAUCCAUGGAUGUCAAUAGCUCUGACUCUGAAGACUAG
This 624-nucleotide ribosomal RNA is filed under the name Triticum aestivum (bread wheat). RNAcentral describes it as "partial small subunit ribosomal RNA". The record is from RNAcentral. Lineage: Eukaryota; Viridiplantae; Streptophyta; Magnoliopsida; Poales; Poaceae.